CUGGCUGAAGAGCUGAUGAGCUUUUCAUGUCUCUUCUCUGACUGAAGCUGAAGAGUCUGUUUAUGUUCUGAUCUCAG
This 77-nucleotide small nucleolar RNA is filed under the name Cyprinodon variegatus (sheepshead minnow). RNAcentral describes it as "Small nucleolar RNA SNORD111 (ENSCVAG00000010384.1)". The record is from RNAcentral. Lineage: Eukaryota; Metazoa; Chordata; Actinopteri; Cyprinodontiformes; Cyprinodontidae.